UGGUGGAUAGCUUGGUUUGGGAAGCCGAAGAAGGCCGUGGCAAGCUGCGAAAAGCACAAGGUAGGCGCACGCAGCCUUUGAACUUGUGAUUGCCUAAUGGGUCUUCCUUCUCUCUUCGGAGAGAGGUCCGAGAGGAUCGGGAACCCGCUGAAUUGAAACAUCUUAGUAAGCGGAGGAAAAGAAACCAAUAGGGAUGCCGUUAGUAGGGGCGACCGAAAGCGGCAAAGGGCGUACUGAAUUCCUUUUGGUAACAAAAGGAAGAUGUGGGUUGUUCAACAACCAUUUUAGGCUUUACAAAGUGCUCUGGAAAGGGCUGCCGAAGAGGGUGAUAGCCCCGUAGUAAUGUCUAAAGUGGUUGGAACAACAAAGAGUAAUGCAGGUUGGGAUUCCUGCAUGAAGAUGGGUGUCAGCAACAUCCAACCCUAAAUACUUCCCAAGACCGAUAGCGUACCAGUACCGUGAGGGAACGCUGAAAAGCUCCCGUAGCAGGGAGUGAAAAGAGCUUGAAACCAAAAGGUAAUAGUAAGAUGCGGCCCUUAGGGGUUGCAUCGUCCGUUUUGAAAAACGGGCCGGCGAGUUUACUUCUGUGGCAAGCCUAAUCUUAAAAAGAGGAGGCGUAGCGAAAGCGAGAAGCCUGCAGCGUUGAGCGAGAGGCGACGUGUGCUCGCGUUAAAGUCACAGGAGUAAGACCUGAAGCCUGACGAGCUAAGCCAGACCAGGCUGAAGCUCGGGUAAAACCGAGUGGAGGGCCGAAGAGGUUCUGCACAUACGCGUUCUUCUGUGUCUGGUUUAGGAGUGAUAUGCUCAUCGAGUCAGGCGCUAGCUGGUUCCCACAGAAACAAGCCAAAGUUUGGCCUCGACAGAGCUAUCAUAAGGGGUAGAGUACAGAUUGUGGAAUUGGGGCUUCGGCUUCGUUCCACUGUCUAACUCCGAAUCCUUAUGAAGCAAAGAAGUCGGGAGUAAGUAAGCGCGGUUAAGCUGCGUGGGCGAGAGGGAAACAACCCAAAGAGUGGUUAAGGCCCUAAAGAGCUAACUGAGUGCAAAGAAGGACUCCUUUGUCGUAGACAGCUGGGGCGUAGGCUUAGAAGCAGCCAUCGCCUAAGCAACGCGUAACAGCGGACCAGUUGAGACAUUGGGGUUCGUAAAUGGACGGGGCUAAGUUAGCCGCCGAUACCACUCCCAUCCGAAAGGAUAGGGGUAUGUGGGCGCGACCGUAGGGCAGAAGCACGUUCGUGAGAAUGUGUGGACCUAUGGCCGAUGUGAAUGCCGGUGUAAGUAGAAGCUAAGCAUGGUGAGAAACCAUGCCAGCGGAAGGGCCAGGUUUUCUCGGCACUGCUCGUCAACCGAGAGUUAGCCGGUCCUAAGUCUUGUGCUUAACUGUGCAAGACGAAAGGGAAGUCCUUUAAUAAUAGGACGCUAUCGAGUCGCGUGCGGCGACGCAAGUUGUUUGCCGAAACUUCGGGAUAAGCUAAGGCACACUGUCGUGUGCUUUAAGCGCCGAAGUCUGAGGAAUUCCGUAAUGGAUAGAAUCAGAUGAAAGCGCGAAUAGCGCUCGCAAGAGCGUUUAGCCAAUUCCUGGAGUCGGUGAAAAGGCAAACAAAAGUGGCUCGAUAACCGUACUCAGAACCGACACAGGUGACCCUGGCCGAAUAAGCCGAGCUGUGACGGGUUGACCCCUUCCAAGGGAACUCGGCAAAUUAGCCGCGUAUCUUCGGUAGAAGCGGUCUCUGCGACACUGCUGUGAAAUAUCAGUGGAGUUGCAGGGUGCAAUGACAAGGGGGGUCCGACUGUUUAACAAAAACGUAGCUAAGCGCAAAGUCUAAACGGCUUUGUACGCUUGGUGAUUCCUGCCCAGUACGGUUACCUGAAACUCCGGUCCAACGGAGCCAAGGGUCCGUAAACGGCGGAGGUAACUCUGACCUUCUUAAGGUAGCGAAAUGCCUUGUCACUUAAUUGGUGACGUGCAUGAAGGGCUAACGAGAUCCCCACUGUCCCUGGAAGGAACCCGACGAAUUUUCUCUUCUGGCGAACAGGCCAGAGACCUCCAGCGGGAAAUGAAGACCCCGUAGACCUUUACUGCAGCCUGUUGCUGUGGUUUGUUUGAGGUUGCAUAGAGUAGCUGGGACCCGUUUGCAGCCCUUUCUUUCGGGGAAGGGUGAGGGGAAAGUGUAACACCAGCCUUCUUUAGGCAAAUCACUUACCCUUCGGGGGACACCUUCAGGUGGGCAGUUUUGCUGGGGCGGCAACCUUCCGAAAAGGCAUCGGCAGGAUCUAAUGAUCGGCUCACCAGGCUUGGAAACCCUGGGUAGAGGACAAGGCUAAAAGCCGGUCUGACUCGGAUCUAACCAGCGAGGAUCCGAGACGCGAAAGCGAGGCCUAGCGAACAUAGGCGUCACUUUUGCUGAGCGCCCUAUCUGAUAGAAAAGGUACCUCGGGGAUAACUGAGUCGUGCCGAGCAAGAGUACACAUCGACCUCGGCGCUUGCUUCUUCGCUGUCGGCUUUGCCUAGCUUGGCUGUGUACAAGCAGCCAAGAGUGCAGGUGUUCACUGAUUAAAAGGCAUCAUGAGCUGGGUUCACAACGUCGUGAGACAGUUGGUGUACAAUCUGCUGGAGGUGCAAAGGGUCUGAGAGCAAGGCAGUUUAAGUACGAAAGGAACAAACUGUCCGCGCCUCUGGUGUACGGGCUGUCUGAUAAGGCAGGCCCGGCAGCUACGCGCGAAGGGAUAAGCUCUGAAAGCAUCUAAGAGCGAAGCCCAUCUCAAAAAGAGACCCGAGGAGCUGCUCUAGAUGAGAGCGUUGAUAGGAUCGGAGUGUA
This 2816-nucleotide ribosomal RNA is filed under the name Candidatus Woesearchaeota archaeon. RNAcentral's name for it is "23S ribosomal RNA". It matches the Rfam family "Archaeal large subunit ribosomal RNA". Lineage: Archaea; Nanobdellati; Candidatus Woesearchaeota. The record is from RNAcentral.